Molecule: ribosomal RNA, 253 nt
Filed under: uncultured bacterium
Lineage: Bacteria
Description: partial 16S ribosomal RNA
Rfam family: Bacterial small subunit ribosomal RNA
Source: RNAcentral
UACGAGGGGGGCAAGCGUUGUUCGGAAUUAUUGGGCGUAAAGGGCGCGUAGGCGGUGCGGUAAGUGACCUGUGAAAACUCUGGGCUCAACUCAGAGCCUGCAGGCGAAACUGCCGUGCUGGAGUGUGGGAGAGGUGCGUGGAAUUCCCGGUGUAGCGGUGAAAUGCGUAGAUAUCAGGAGGAACACCGGUGGCGAAGGCGGGUCUCUGGGCCGUAACUGACGCUGAGGAGCGAAAGCGUGGGGAGCGAACAGG